Molecule: ribosomal RNA, 406 nt
Filed under: uncultured bacterium
Lineage: Bacteria
Description: partial 16S ribosomal RNA
Rfam family: Bacterial small subunit ribosomal RNA
Source: RNAcentral
AUUGAACGCUGGCGGCAGGCCUAACACAUGCAAGUCGAACGAGUGGCGGACGGGUGAGUAAUGUCUGGGAACCUGCCCGAUGGAGGGGGAUAACUACUGGAAACGGUAGCUAAUACCGCAUACCAUCGGAUGUGCCCAGAUGGGAUUAGCUAGUCGGUGGGGUAACGGCUCACCUAGGCGACGAUCCCUAGCUGGUCUGAGCGGAUGACCGGCCACACUGGAACUGAGACACGGUCCAGACUCCUACGGGAGGCAGCAGGGGGGAAUAUUGCACAAUGGGCGCAAGCCUGAGGCAGCCAUGCCGCGUGUAUGAAGAAGGCCUUCGGGUUGUAAAGGACUUUCAGCGAGGAGGCGGUACUCGAAGAAGAAGCACCGGCUAACUCCGUGCCAGCAGCCGCGGUAAUUC